AAUUCAUGGUGGGGGCAUGAUCUGAACAACUCUUUAUAUCAUUCCCACGCUUCAAGAAGUGAUUUCCCAUCUUCUUUCAUAAAAUAAGUUAUUUGGUUCCUCAAGU
This is a small nucleolar RNA of Lathyrus oleraceus (garden pea), 106 nucleotides long. The record is from RefSeq and is a predicted model, not a curated record. Lineage: Eukaryota; Viridiplantae; Streptophyta; Magnoliopsida; Fabales; Fabaceae.